This 2237-nucleotide ribosomal RNA is filed under the name Escherichia coli. Its description in RNAcentral is "partial 23S ribosomal RNA". It matches the Rfam family "Bacterial large subunit ribosomal RNA", at positions 418 to 2640 of the family's 2925-position model. The record is from RNAcentral. Lineage: Bacteria; Pseudomonadati; Pseudomonadota; Gammaproteobacteria; Enterobacterales; Enterobacteriaceae.
CGGGACACGUGGUAUCCUGUCUGAAUAUGGGGGGACCAUCCUCCAAGGCUAAAUACUCCUGACUGACCGAUAGUGAACCAGUACCGUGAGGGAAAGGCGAAAAGAACCCCGGCGAGGGGAGUGAAAAAGAACCUGAAACCGUGUACGUACAAGCAGUGGGAGCACGCUUAGGCGUGUGACUGCGUACCUUUUGUAUAAUGGGUCAGCGACUUAUAUUCUGUAGCAAGGUUAACCGAAUAGGGGAGCCGAAGGGAAACCGAGUCUUAACUGGGCGUUAAGUUGCAGGGUAUAGACCCGAAACCCGGUGAUCUAGCCAUGGGCAGGUUGAAGGUUGGGUAACACUAACUGGAGGACCGAACCGACUAAUGUUGAAAAAUUAGCGGAUGACUUGUGGCUGGGGGUGAAAGGCCAAUCAAACCGGGAGAUAGCUGGUUCUCCCCGAAAGCUAUUUAGGUAGCGCCUCGUGAAUUCAUCUCCGGGGGUAGAGCACUGUUUCGGCAAGGGGGUCAUCCCGACUUACCAACCCGAUGCAAACUGCGAAUACCGGAGAAUGUUAUCACGGGAGACACACGGCGGGUGCUAACGUCCGUCGUGAAGAGGGAAACAACCCAGACCGCCAGCUAAGGUCCCAAAGUCAUGGUUAAGUGGGAAACGAUGUGGGAAGGCCCAGACAGCCAGGAUGUUGGCUUAGAAGCAGCCAUCAUUUAAAGAAAGCGUAAUAGCUCACUGGUCGAGUCGGCCUGCGCGGAAGAUGUAACGGGGCUAAACCAUGCACCGAAGCUGCGGCAGCGACGCUUAUGCGUUGUUGGGUAGGGGAGCGUUCUGUAAGCCUGCGAAGGUGUGCUGUGAGGCAUGCUGGAGGUAUCAGAAGUGCGAAUGCUGACAUAAGUAACGAUAAAGCGGGUGAAAAGCCCGCUCGCCGGAAGACCAAGGGUUCCUGUCCAACGUUAAUCGGGGCAGGGUGAGUCGACCCCUAAGGCGAGGCCGAAAGGCGUAGUCGAUGGGAAACAGGUUAAUAUUCCUGUACUUGGUGUUACUGCGAAGGGGGGACGGAGAAGGCUAUGUUGGCCGGGCGACGGUUGUCCCGGUUUAAGCGUGUAGGCUGGUUUUCCAGGCAAAUCCGGAAAAUCAAGGCUGAGGCGUGAUGACGAGGCACUACGGUGCUGAAGCAACAAAUGCCCUGCUUCCAGGAAAAGCCUCUAAGCAUCAGGUAACAUCAAAUCGUACCCCAAACCGACACAGGUGGUCAGGUAGAGAAUACCAAGGCGCUUGAGAGAACUCGGGUGAAGGAACUAGGCAAAAUGGUGCCGUAACUUCGGGAGAAGGCACGCUGAUAUGUAGGUGAAGUCCCUCGCGGAUGGAGCUGAAAUCAGUCGAAGAUACCAGCUGGCUGCAACUGUUUAUUAAAAACACAGCACUGUGCAAACACGAAAGUGGACGUAUACGGUGUGACGCCUGCCCGGUGCCGGAAGGUUAAUUGAUGGGGUUAGCGCAAGCGAAGCUCUUGAUCGAAGCCCCGGUAAACGGCGGCCGUAACUAUAACGGUCCUAAGGUAGCGAAAUUCCUUGUCGGGUAAGUUCCGACCUGCACGAAUGGCGUAAUGAUGGCCAGGCUGUCUCCACCCGAGACUCAGUGAAAUUGAACUCGCUGUGAAGAUGCAGUGUACCCGCGGCAAGACGGAAAGACCCCGUGAACCUUUACUAUAGCUUGACACUGAACAUUGAGCCUUGAUGUGUAGGAUAGGUGGGAGGCUUUGAAGUGUGGACGCCAGUCUGCAUGGAGCCGACCUUGAAAUACCACCCUUUAAUGUUUGAUGUUCUAACGUUGACCCGUAAUCCGGGUUGCGGACAGUGUCUGGUGGGUAGUUUGACUGGGGCGGUCUCCUCCUAAAGAGUAACGGAGGAGCACGAAGGUUGGCUAAUCCUGGUCGGACAUCAGGAGGUUAGUGCAAUGGCAUAAGCCAGCUUGACUGCGAGCGUGACGGCGCGAGCAGGUGCGAAAGCAGGUCAUAGUGAUCCGGUGGUUCUGAAUGGAAGGGCCAUCGCUCAACGGAUAAAAGGUACUCCGGGGAUAACAGGCUGAUACCGCCCAAGAGUUCAUAUCGACGGCGGUGUUUGGCACCUCGAUGUCGGCUCAUCACAUCCUGGGGCUGAAGUAGGUCCCAAGGGUAUGGCUGUUCGCCAUUUAAAGUGGUACGCGAGCUGGGUUUAGAACGUCGUGAGACAGUUCGGUCCCUA